UACGAGGGGGGCGAGCGUUGUUCGGAAUUAUUGGGCGUAAAGGGCGCGUAGGCGGUGCGGUAAGUCACCUGUGAAACCUCUAGGCUUAACCUAGAGCCUGCAGGCGAAACUGCCGUGCUGGAGUGUGGGAGAGGUGCGUGGAAUUCCCGGUGUAGCGGUGAAAUGCGUAGAUGAUCGGGAGGAACACCUGUGGCGAAAGCGGCGCACUGGACCACAACUGACGCUGAGGCGCGAAAGCUAGGGGAGCAAACAGG
RNAcentral lists this ribosomal RNA (254 nucleotides) under uncultured bacterium. RNAcentral describes it as "partial 16S ribosomal RNA". It matches the Rfam family "Bacterial small subunit ribosomal RNA", at positions 524 to 776 of the family's 1533-position model. The record is from RNAcentral.